Molecule: ribosomal RNA, 836 nt
Filed under: uncultured bacterium
Lineage: Bacteria
Description: bacterial SSU rRNA
Rfam family: Bacterial small subunit ribosomal RNA
Source: RNAcentral
AGUUCCUUCGGGAGCGAGUACAGUGGCGGACGGGUGAGUAACGCAUGGGAAUCUGCCCAGUAGUGGGGAAUAACCCGGGGAAACUCGGGCUAAUACCGCAUACGUCCUACGGGAGAAAGCGGGGGAUCUUCGGACCUCGCGCUAUUGGAUGAGCCCAUGUCAGAUUAGCUUGUUGGUAGGGUAAUGGCCUACCAAGGCGACGAUCUGUAGCUGGUCUGAGAGGAUGAUCAGCCACACUGGGACUGAGACACGGCCCAGACUCCUACGGGAGGCAGCAGUGGGGAAUAUUGGACAAUGGGCGCAAGCCUGAUCCAGCAAUGCCGCGUGUGUGAAGAAGGCCUGCGGGUUGUAAAGCACUUUCAUCAGGGACGAAAAACCCAAGGGUAAUACCUUUGGGCCUUGACUUAACCUGAACAAGAAGCACCGGCUAACUCCGUGCCAGCAGCCGCGGUAAUACGGGGGGUGCAAGCGUUAAUCGGAAUUACUGGGCGUAAAGCGCACGUAGGAGGUUGAAUCAGUCAGAUGUGAAAGCCCCGGGCUCAACCUGGGAAUUGCAUUUGAUACUGUUCGGCUAGAGUCUGGCAGAGGAAAGCGGAAUUCCGGGUGUAGCGGUGGAAUGCGUAGAUAUCCGGAAGAACACCAGUGGCGAAGGCGGCUUUCUGGGCCAAGACUGACUCUGAGGUGCGAAAGCGUGGGGAGCGAACAGGAUUAGAUACCCUGGUAGUCCACGCCGUAAACGAUGUCAACUAGCCGUUGGAUCCGCUUGAGGAUCAAGUGGCGUAGCUAACGCGAUAAGUUGACCGCCUGGGGAGUACGGCCGCAAGGUUUGAAACUCA